RNAcentral lists this ribosomal RNA (483 nucleotides) under uncultured bacterium. RNAcentral's name for it is "bacterial SSU rRNA". It matches the Rfam family "Bacterial small subunit ribosomal RNA", at positions 9 to 524 of the family's 1533-position model. The record is from RNAcentral.
GAGUUUGAUCAUGGCUCAGAAUCAACGCUGGCGGCGUGCCUAACACAUGCAAGUCGCACGAGAAAGGGACUUCGGUCUUGAGUAAAGUGGCGCACGGGUGAGUAACACGUGACUAAUCUACCCUCGAGUGGGGAAUAACUGAGAGAAAUCUUAGCUAAUACCGCAUAACACUUACGAGUCAAAGCAGCAAUGCGCUUGGGGAGGAGGUCGCGGCCGAUUAGCUAGUUGGCGGGGUAAUGGCCCACCAAGGCGAUGAUCGGUAUCCGGCCUGAGAGGGCGCACGGACACACUGGAACUGAAACACGGUCCAGACUCCUACGGGAGGCAGCAGUGGGGAAUUUUGCGCAAUGGGGGAAACCCUGACGCAGCAACGCCGCGUGGAGGAUGAAGUGUCUUGGUACGUAAACUCCUUUCGAUGGGGAGGAUAAUGACGGUACCCAUAGAAGAAGCCCCGGCUAACUUCGUGCCAGCCGCCGCAGUAAC